GAUGAACGCUAGCGGCAGGCCUAACACAUGCAAGUCGAGGGGUAGAAGGAGCUUGCUCCUUUGAGACCGGCGCACGGGUGCGUAACGCGUAUGCAAUCUACCUUGUACAGGGGAAUAGCCCAGAGAAAUUUGGAUUAAUGCACCAUAGUAUAUAACCUUCGCAUGUUGGUUAUAUUAAAGUUCCAACGGUACAAGAUGAGCAUGCGUCCCAUUAGUUAGUUGGUAAGGUAACGGCUUACCAAGACGAUGAUGGGUAGGGGUCCUGAGAGGGAGAUCCCCCACACUGGUACUGAGACACGGACCAGACGCCUACGGGAGGCAGCAGUGAGGAAUAUUGGUCGAUGGUCGCAAGACUGAACCAGCCAUGCCGCGUGCAGGAAGACGGUCCUAUGGAUUGUAAACUGCUUUUAUACAGGAAGAAACCCUCCCACGUGUGGGAGCUGGACGGUACUGUAGGAAUAAGGAUCGGCUAACUCCGU
RNAcentral lists this ribosomal RNA (479 nucleotides) under uncultured bacterium. Its description in RNAcentral is "partial 16S ribosomal RNA". It matches the Rfam family "Bacterial small subunit ribosomal RNA", at positions 28 to 506 of the family's 1533-position model. The record is from RNAcentral.